This 468-nucleotide ribosomal RNA is filed under the name uncultured bacterium. RNAcentral describes it as "partial 16S ribosomal RNA". It matches the Rfam family "Bacterial small subunit ribosomal RNA", at positions 28 to 507 of the family's 1533-position model. The record is from RNAcentral.
GACGAACGCUGGCGGCGUGCUUAACACAUGCAAGUCGAACGGAAAAGCCCUGCUUUUGUGGGGUGCUCGAGUGGCGAACGGGUGAGUAACACGUGAGUAACCUGCCCUUGACUUUGGGAUAACUUCAGGAAACUGGGGCUAAUACCGGAUAGGAGCUCCUGCUGCAUGGUGGGGGUUGGAAAGUUUCGGCGGUUGGGGAUGGACUCGCGGCUUAUCAGCUUGUUGGUGGGGUAGUGGCUUACCAAGGCUUUGACGGGUAGCCGGCCUGAGAGGGUGACCGGCCACAUUGGGACUGAGAUACGGCCCAGACUCCUACGGGAGGCGGCAGUGGGGAAUAUUGCACAAUGGGCGGAAGCCUGAUGCAGCAACGCCGCGUGCGGGAUGACGGCCUUCGGGUUGUAAACCGCUUUCGCCUGUGACGAAGCGUGAGUGACGGUAAUGGGUAAAGAAGCACCGGCUAACUACGUG